AGUCUUAAUUUGAUAGCCAAGGAUGACUUGCUUACACCCUUGGCAGAAUAUCUCCUUUUUUUGGUUUGUAAGCAAGCUCCAUGGCUAGCUGAUGGGCUCU
Molecule: microRNA precursor, 100 nt
Filed under: Olea europaea subsp. europaea
Lineage: Eukaryota; Viridiplantae; Streptophyta; Magnoliopsida; Lamiales; Oleaceae
Source: RNAcentral